CUCAAAGAUGGGAAACACACAUCAACAUUUGGAUCUACAGGACUCUAUUAGGCACUUGCUCCUGUACCAAUAAUACCAGUGUAACCUAUGCUCUAAUACUAAUUUGUCAUGAUCUAAUUCAUGAGUCGUGAUAGCACUUACUAUAACCCACCAAUAGGUAACCUAACACCAUAACUCAAAGCUAAGGUAAUGGGUUACUUUGGUAGAAUAUCCUAACAUAGGGUCAC
Molecule: long non-coding RNA, 227 nt
Filed under: Capsicum annuum
Lineage: Eukaryota; Viridiplantae; Streptophyta; Magnoliopsida; Solanales; Solanaceae
Description: long non-coding RNA (CANN_LNC006673)
Source: RNAcentral